Molecule: ribosomal RNA, 335 nt
Filed under: Triticum aestivum (bread wheat)
Lineage: Eukaryota; Viridiplantae; Streptophyta; Magnoliopsida; Poales; Poaceae
Description: partial small subunit ribosomal RNA
Source: RNAcentral
GCCUCCGCCCGCACUCGCGCCCCCACCCGCGUCUCCUCGUCCCCUCUUGCCGCCUCCGGCUCCUCUCCUCUCACCCGGUUCUUCUUGAUUCGCCUGGCCGCGGUGAUGGUGGCGUGACGGAGCUCGCGCGAGGGCUUCGAAUCUGAGGUGCCAGCCAUCUCCUGUAAACGUACGCCGCUCGUGAUCGCGCGGACGGAGGGGUCCUCUUCUGCUGACGUACGCCGCUCGUGCUCGCGCGGACGGAGGGUUCCUCUUCUGCUGCUGCUCCGUCUGCAUCCUCCUCUGCCUCUCCUUCUCCUCGACCUCCACGGAGUCGUCGUCCAGCCACUCAAUUU